CAGCUUUCCAUAAAUGGAUCUUUAUUGAUUUAUUCAGAAAAAGCUUUGGUAGCUCAUUCUCAGAACAGCAGCAGAUUUCUUCUUGGACAGAAGAUUUACAGUACAGAGGAAAAACAAUAAAGGGGAAAAUGGGACGGGUACAUUUCAAGCUUAUUAUUUAAGUUCUUAGGCUUAGCAACACACCUAUUAACGUUCGUUUGAAACGGUUAUCAACAUUAACAGACUGAACUGGACUUAAUAACAGGAGUGCAUAUAAUUUUAGUAAAUUAUUCUGGUGAGUAUCAGCUGCGCUGGGUAUGUAAAUCGGGCCAUCCAGCCGCGUACAGAGGAAAAACAAUAAAGGGGAAAAUGGGACGGGUACAUUUCAAGCUUAUUAUUUAAGUUCUUAGGCUUAGCAACACACCUAUUAACGUUCGUUUGAAACGGUUAUCAACAUUAACAGACUGAACUGGACUUAAUAACAGGAGUGCAUAUAAUUUUAGUAAAUUAUUCUGGUGAGUAUCAGCUGCGCUGGGUAUGUAAAUCGGGCCAUCCAGCCGCGGUGCUCAUCGUACGCCACUCGUGCCAGAAAUCCGGACAAAUGUCACUUGAUCAAGGAGCAGAUCUGCAUCAGAUGAGAUCAGCUGACUUUGCGUGUGCGUGCGCUGUGCACAGCGGUGUGUACUCUGUGUGUUAACAAGAAAAACGCAUAUAAGAAAGUGGUGCGCAAAAGCAGGGUAGUGACAGAAUUGAUGCGCAUUAUUGAUAUUUGAAGCAUGUGUACCUGCACAUGCAUGCAUAUUAACACGCGGGUACUGUGGAAUGUAGUUUUUACUCACCUAAAGUGCUCGUGCUCUCGUCCACUCCCCGCAAAAAAAAAAAAAAAUUAGCAGCUGUGCGGUGUCUGUGGCAUCGGUGCUCUCAUCGCAUGCGAUGGACUAAAAAUCAAAAGCACAGCUUUAUCAGACAGUUGCAGUUUAAUGUUGGCUGACAGUCUUCAGUGCGUGGCACAACUGUAUUUCUGGACAUGCUGACGUUGUUGAAGUCCUGCACUUUUUCCGGGCACAUUAUUUCGGUGACUUUAACGAGGCAGCGUUUUAUGAGGUCUCCAUCUGAAAAAGGCUUACCAUGUCUUGCGAUGAGUUGGGCGACCUCAUAACUGGCUAUUGGAGCCUUUUAGCUACCCUUUGCUUUAAUUUCUGCUCUCGAUCAGCACCAGUGUAGGAUGCAUAGGCCUGAUGUUUGGUUUCAUAAUGACGUCGUACAUUAUACUCUUUCAUAACUGCCACAGUUUCAGUGCAGAUCAAACAGACACACUUCCCCUUUAAUUCUUUGAAAAAAUAUUCACUCUCCCACCGUGUCUGAAAUUUUCUGCACUCACUUUGUAGCAGCCCUUGGCAUCAAGAAUGACAGAAGAGUCUCUAACGGGUGCAGCCAUUUAUUUCCUCACCACACACGCCUCAUUCUCUGGACAUUGAGCACCGUGAAAACUAUAAAACAAGAAAAAAUUGAUACCCGUACAGUCCUUUUGAAGUAUAACAAUGAGCAAUAACAACAAUGAGCUCAAGUUAAUUCAGGUAAGUUCAAACAAGUAAUUCUGAGAUAUACAGUCACAGAUUAAAUAAAACAAAAAGGGGUUACUUCAAACAGCAUCAAGGGGUUACACAGUUCGGUUAAAUAAAAUAUAACAACAGAUCACCUCUCAUCACAUACCUCAGUCCGCUUGCCAAGGGUGCAAACUCCGGUGAACACUUAAACACUUCGGCCCGUUUCUCAUGGGAUGCUGCUAGCUUGCAUGACACACAUGUCUAAGAUGGACUUUGUACAACUUAUUCCUGCCGCACGACAGACCUCUCAUACACGUUACGGGGCAUGCCUCUGAGCACAUCUGUCCUUAGUGCGACUGCGCAUACAGUUCCGACAACCCCCGCAAGGAUGACUUAUGGUACAGAUCAGCGGUUCAUUACACACUUUCUACUAGUGAUGGCCCGCUUGAAGCUGACGCUCCGGAGCGUGUGUCGAAAAAAACAACACACUGGUUCAGAAGCACUGUGUCGAGGCUUGCUUCGUUUGGC
Molecule: long non-coding RNA, 2054 nt
Organism: Oreochromis aureus
Lineage: Eukaryota; Metazoa; Chordata; Actinopteri; Cichliformes; Cichlidae
Source: Ensembl